RNAcentral lists this long non-coding RNA (214 nucleotides) under Lathyrus oleraceus (garden pea). RNAcentral's name for it is "Pisum sativum (pea) long non-coding RNA (PSAT_LNC021643)". The record is from RNAcentral. Lineage: Eukaryota; Viridiplantae; Streptophyta; Magnoliopsida; Fabales; Fabaceae.
AUUUAUGCGCAGGCCAGGCUACGACUUAAAAUUAUUGGGGGACUCGAGGGAUCCAUAUAAAAUGGAAAGACUCAGCCAAGGAAACAAACACAACAUCUGCAGGGGAUACGAAUAAGUCAGGAUAAAAACUGAAGCAUUCGACUCAUGCAGGGGAACAACGAUUUCACUAAGGAAAUGCGCACUCAACUCAACUGGGGAGAAAAAAUAAAAUUUC